UCAGCUCGUGUCGUGAGAUGUUGGUUAAGUCCCGCAACGAGCGCAACCCCUAUUGUUAGUUGCCAUCAUUCAGUUGGGCACUCUAGCGAGACUGCCGGUAAUAAACCGGAGGAAGGUGGGGAUGACGUCAAAUCAUCAUGCCCCUUAUGACCUGGGCUACACACGUGCUACAAUGGUUGGUACAACGAGUUGCGAGUCGGUGACGGCGAGCUAAUCUCUUAAAGCCAAUCUCAGUUCGGAUUGUAGGCUGCAACUCGCCUACAUGAAGUCGGAAUCGCUAGUAAUCGCGGAUCAGCACGCCGCGGUGAAUACGUUCCCGGGCCUU
RNAcentral lists this ribosomal RNA (325 nucleotides) under uncultured Streptococcus sp. Its description in RNAcentral is "bacterial SSU rRNA". It matches the Rfam family "Bacterial small subunit ribosomal RNA", at positions 1055 to 1382 of the family's 1533-position model. The record is from RNAcentral. Lineage: Bacteria; Bacillati; Bacillota; Bacilli; Lactobacillales; Streptococcaceae.